RNAcentral lists this long non-coding RNA (1283 nucleotides) under Numida meleagris (helmeted guineafowl). Its description in RNAcentral is "lncRNA (ENSNMEG00000022026.1)". Lineage: Eukaryota; Metazoa; Chordata; Aves; Galliformes; Numididae. The record is from RNAcentral.
CUGCCCGCUAAUGCCCACAGCCUGCGGUGGGAGCAGCCUGCCUGCCAGAUUUUCCCCACUUCCCUGAGAUAUAAUGUACGGUUUUCUUACCUCGAGGUGUAAUUUCGUGUUGCCUUUUCUUCCCCUUCAGGGAAGGGCUCACUAGAUGGCACUGUGUCACUGUGGGACAAGUCACCUCCAUCUGCUUCUAGGCAGUCUGUAUCAUUGAGCAGGGAGAAUGGAGUCAUCUUCGUUCUCUGCUGAUCUGUGACACGAGGUAUUACGUUUUCUGAAUAACACAUCUAUCAUGCAAUAGGAUCAUAAAAUGCAAAAAAAUUCUCCUGAACAACCAUUGUGAUUGCUGGAUGAAGAUGAAAUCUUGUCAUGUUCUCCGUUAGUACUUGUCUCUUCAAGGGAAACUGUUGUACUUUCAGUAGAGCACACUUAUGGACUCUUGGUGACAUAUACAUCUGCUACAAAAAGGAGACAUUAAUCAUCACUUCGUUGAGGUACAGGGAAAGUGUGGGCCUGCAAAGGCGUGUGCAGAAGCAGCCAUCUCCAGAGAGGCAGCUGUGAAGAAGGAAGUCUUAAGCACCAGCUUAGAGGAGACUGAGAAAGAAGCAUGAGCUCAAACCGUGACUAGACCUAAUCUUUCCAAGGAGCAGAUGGCCACAGCUUUUCUCCCUCCCUCCUCUGCACCAAAUGGAGUUUGGGGACAAUGUUUGGAGAUGCCGCAAUUUAAAGAGGAAGACUGUUAUUUCAGACCUGUAAUGUGAUUGUCAGUAGUAUAAUUCUGGAACUGAGCAGAUUCUAGGGUACUGCAGAUGCUGUAUGACUUUCUAGGAGUCAGAAAACAAAGCAGAAGCUGUGUUACCACAACUACAGCACAACUGGUGCCUUGGAAAAGCCACUAGUAUCAAAGAACCUUCCUUUUUAAAGGAGAUUUUAAAACUCACCUCUUGAGUCUCUCAACAUAUGGUGCUCAGAAGAGCUUAAAAGGUUAAGAGCUACCCAAACAAAAUAUUCACUGUCCAGAAGCCCUGGAGCUCAUUACCCUUAAGUACUGCAGUGUUUAUAGCCAUGCCGAGGAGGCAAAGGAGAUGAAAUGUCCUUCAGAAGGGGAAUUAAUGUAUUACCAUUCAUUCCUUUUAUAGAUAAUAUUGCUAUUUAGGAAGUGCUAAAGUACAUGAUGUCUUUACUGAUUAAAUUUCCUGUGUAAGCAAAAUGUUCAUAAAGUUACAUAACUGCAUUUUUCUUCCUACUUCAUUGCUGGCAGCUUCAGUACAGGCUUCUCAAGUACUGUA